AACCGGUAAAUACAAACUAUAUGUUUAAAAUCCAAAGAAUUUGGCGGUAUCUUAAAUAAUCAGGGGAACCUGUACCUUAAUUUGAUAAUCCACACACCUCUAACCAUAUUUUGAAUUUCAGCCUGUGUACUGCUGUCGUCAGUAAACCUCUAAAAGCAAGUUUACAAUAAUAAUAUCUAUUCACGUCAAGUCAAAGUGCAGCCAAUAAUAUGGAGGAUAUGGGUUACUAUUCCAAUAAGAAAACGAAUUAUUAAAAAUAAAAAUAAUAUGAAGGUGGACUUGACAUGUAAUAUUUAUAAAACACUAAUAUAAACAAUAAUCUAAGAUAUGCACACAUCGCCCGUC
Molecule: ribosomal RNA, 345 nt
Filed under: Grania quaerens
Lineage: Eukaryota; Metazoa; Annelida; Clitellata; Enchytraeida; Enchytraeidae
Description: partial 12S ribosomal RNA
Source: RNAcentral